Long non-coding RNA from Capra hircus (goat), 2078 nucleotides. NCBI's taxonomy places the organism in Eukaryota, Metazoa, Chordata, Mammalia, Artiodactyla, Bovidae. The record is from Ensembl.
AAAAGAAAAAUGUGAGUAAUGGAAGCUAUAUAACAUUUUAUGGAAAAGCAGUUCUCACGAGCAGGAAUAAUCUAUAUUUUUGCCACCACUAAUCAUGUUUACUGAGUAAUUAUUCAACCAUCCACUUUUUAUAAACAAUGUGAAGACAUCUGGCUUUUACAAAUCCCUUAUCACAAUUGGGAUCCACUUCAAUCCAAAUUUCUAAAUAAUAUAAACAGAAUCCCAGCAGUGACUGUUUAUUACAAAUUAAAAGUUACCUUCUAUUGAUACACUCUGGGGCCAAAACUGCAUUAUACUUUGAAGUGAAAGAACCACAGCAGAAGGUCCAUAAUCAUAUGACAACCAAGAGGGCAGUGACUCACUGCUGUGUCUACAGAUGAACACAGCUGCUCUACUGUGUGAGUCUUAGAGGCUGACAGCCUCUAAUCCUGGCGACAGGGACUGGGGUAGGGUAAUUAAAUAGUCAACUCAGAAAUCCCACUAGUGGAUUAAAGGCAGAAAGGGAGUUUGAAGGGAGCUUGAGAGAUGUUACAAGCUUGUACAGUUGUUCUGGUGGGAGUUCUGCUUCAGUUGUGUAACUACAGUCAAGCAUUUCAGUUGGGCGCAACUGAUGGCCGACCUAUAGCCCACAUUAUCGCCAGUGCUUCUCGGACCCUGGAAUACACAAGCAGUGGUUCUCGGCAUUUGACCCUGAAUCUUUUCACCAAAGGUUAUGCAGUGGGACAGAAGAAUCUGGAAAUGAUUUUUGCAAUAACUAAAUGAUACUGAAUUCGGUUCUGGCAAAUGAUAGGAAUGUCCCAAUUUCUAUAGAAGAAAGACCAAAAGCACAAAGAAAGCUGAGCACUAAGGAAUUGAUGCUUUCGAACUGUGGUAUUGGAGAAGGCUCUUGAGAGUCCCUUGGACUGCAAGGAGAUCCAACCAGUCCAUCCUAAAGGAAAUCAGUCCUGAAUAUUCAUUGGAAGGACUGAUGCUGAAGCUGAAGCUCCAAUACUUCGGCCACCUGAUGUGAAGAACCAACUCAUUGGAAAAGACCCUGAUGCUGGGAAAGAUUGAAGGCAGGAGGAGAAGGGGAUGACAGAGGAUGAGAUGGUUGGAUGACAUCACCAACUCAAUGGACAUGAGUCUGAGUAAAAUCCGGGAGUUGGCGAUAGACAGGGAGGCCUGGCGCGCUGUGGUUCAUGGGGUUGUAAAGAGUCAGACACUACUGACCGACUGAACUGAACUGAACACAUUCACCAUUCUUCAAACUGGUCUUCAGGGUCUGCUCUAAAGUAUGUUUCCAGGUAUAUAUUCCAUUGUUUGUGAAAGCAACGUCAUUUGAACAGAAUAACUUAAUGCUUGAGCUAAUAGUGUGUGCAACCAGAUAGGCUGAUUUGCAACUAUGUUUAUUGGAGAAUCAGUUGUAAUUACUAAGAUUCAGGUUCCUUAUCUUUAACUUCCACCCUUUACCCUAAAGACUUGUUAUAAGAAUUUAAUGAAACAGUGUACAUAAAGCACUUAGCAUCAUGACCAGAAUAUCAUCAAGCAAAAUACCUGAUAGAAGCAGAAAAUACUAUUACUAUUAUUUACAUACCUUUUCCAGCAGAGAGUCUUUCUUUUCUCUAUUAUGUCUAUCUGCUUUUUGGAGCUUAGUUUUAAUCUUACCUCCCCUAUUAAUUCUUCUUAGUUCAGCCCACUGGAAGGUGGAUUUCUCAUCUGCAGUCUAUUUAACAGCAUUUCACAUUUACCGCUAGACACUGUUAGGACCAAACUGGAGCCAGGACAGGCUCUAAGGGGCAGGCUAGGCCUGAGGUUUAGUCUCUAGGAAGGCUGAGGCACUGGAAACUCCCACAGGCAGUGUAGCUCGACCAAUCAGAAAAAUCCCCGUAGCCCCUCGCCCAUGCCAGACCCGAGCCAAUCCAGAUAGGGAUGCGAGGUUUAAAAGUCCCACGCGUGCAUAUGGUUUAACCAAUCAGCUAUGCUGUUACAGGAACAAAGAACCAUCUGUAUAAAAGUAGAUGUGAUUCAGAGCUCGGGGCUCUUGUCAGAUUCCACUGUGCUGGAUGAGACCUGGGCCCUAACUCAAGCUAGCAAUAAAC